AGAGUUUGAUCAUGGCUCAGAACGAACGCUGGCGGCGUGGAUAAGACAUGCAAGUCGAACGGGACAUUGUUUGUAGCAAUACAAGCGAUGUUCAGUGGCGUAAGGGUGCGUAACACGUGGGCAAUCUGCCGAAGAGUGGGGGAUAGCUCGCCGAAAGGCGAAUUAAUACCGCAUGUGGCUAGUGGAGACAUCUCCACGAGGCCAAAGCCGGGGCAACCUGGCGCUCUUUGAUGAGCCCGCGGCCUAUCAGCUAGUUGGCGGGGUAACGGCCCACCAAGGCUAUGACGGGUAGCUGGUCUGAGAGGACGACCAGCCACACUGGAACUGAGACACGGUCCAGACACCUACGGGUGGCAGCAGUCGAGAAUUUUUCUCAAUGGGGGAAACCCUGAAGGAGCGACGCCGCGUGGAGGAUGAAGGUCUUCGGAUUGUAAACUCCUGUCAUUAGGGAACAAUUGUCCGCGAUUAACUGUCGCGGGCUUGAUAGUACCUGAAGAGGAAGAGACGGCUAACUCUGUGCCAGCAGCCGCGGUAAUACAGAGGUCUCAAGCGUUGUUCGGAUUCAUUGGGCGUAAAGGGUGCGUAGGCGGCGGGGUAAGUCAGGUGUGAAAUCUCGGGGCUCAACUCCGAAACUGCAUUUGAUACUGCCUUGCUAGAGUACUGGAGAGGAGAUUGGAAUUUACGGUGUAGCAGUGAAAUGCGUAGAUAUCGUAAGGAAGACCAGUGGCGAAGGCGAAUCUCUGGACAGUUACUGACGCUGAGGCACGAAGGCCAGGGGAGCAAACGGGAUUAGAUACCCCAGUAGUCC
RNAcentral lists this ribosomal RNA (808 nucleotides) under uncultured bacterium. RNAcentral's name for it is "bacterial SSU rRNA". It matches the Rfam family "Bacterial small subunit ribosomal RNA", at positions 8 to 796 of the family's 1533-position model. The record is from RNAcentral.